Long non-coding RNA from Homo sapiens (human), 3069 nucleotides. RefSeq annotates it as ATP6V0E2 antisense RNA 1. The record is from RefSeq and is marked validated. Lineage: Eukaryota; Metazoa; Chordata; Mammalia; Primates; Hominidae. The transcript has 4 exons.
GAUUGGCUGAGCAGGGCCGCGGACAGAGAGAAAUGCCGAGGAAUAGGGGCGCGGCCGCCCGGUUUCGGCGAUGGGUUAUAGGGUCCGCGUCAGCCCCGCGCCCGCACAGCCAACGUCACGCCGCAUUCUUAUUUCCAAAGACCCCUGGAGCUUGGGGUCCCACCCCAGCGGUCUUUCGGGGCGUCCCCUGCCCUUCACGCGCCGCGCCGGCUCGGCCCGAAGCGCCCUGCGGACCCGCAGCCUGGGCCGCCCCGAACCUGACGGCCCCGCGGGGGUCGGACGCGGGAGGAACGGCCUCGCUUUCAGAGACGCAGCGGGAGGGCGGUCCCCGCUGUCCCUCUGGCCGGGUCCUCAGCACGCGUUCUCCUCACUCCCAGGACUAGCGAGCGGCGGGCGCGGACCGGGGCCUGGGGUCGGAGGCGGCGCAGCCAGAAAGGCCCCAGCGGCGCUGAGACGUUUGGGGGAAGGCGGGGGCUUCGCGUUUCGAUGGCGGGAAGCGGAAUGAGGUUGGACCGGCCGGGCCGGCGUUCAGGGACCCGGCGGGAGGCGGAGGGCUGGCGUCCUCGCGGACAUCCAUCUGCAGCGAACCAGGCAGAGGCUUUGGGAUUAGAUCCUUGACUCCUUGCGUCAGUAGUUAAGCUUUGUGAUGGUCUGAGGUCCAUGAAGGGAUUAAAACCAGGAACUGGCUCCUUCUCCAACCACUAAAGCCUCAUCUGGGCCCACAAGCCCUGGCUGUUCCCUGGAGCGUGACUGGAAGAUGUGAGCAGCUUUGUGCUGGAGCCCCAUUUCCAUGGUGCAUGCUGCUGCCAAACCAGAGAUCACUUGUAGACUUGAAAGGGAACAUGAGCUUUGGGUGAAGGAUUCCCAGCCCCCAACAGAGGCCAAAAAGCUACCACCCAGCCAGGCAGAAGGAACAUAAAGUAUGCAUUUUAUGAUACGACUCAGCUUGGAGGGAUGAAGUAGAAGGUCCUCACUGCACCUCAUGGCAGGCUGCUGACGGCAGAUAUUUUACCGGGCUCACUGAACUGGGCAGUCAGGGAAGGGUCGGCUCCUGCUCUGUCCAGCUGUCUUCAUAAGGGACUCUGUGACACUUUUUAUAAAAAUGACUUUGAUUUCUGCAUAAGAAGGCUUCCCAAGCUUGCUGUCUAGCAGUGGCUGCUACAGGGAAUUAUUCACAUGGCAGCAAGAGAGCCCUGGCUCCCUGGACCAGGACAUUCCCUUUGUGUGUGUUGGAAUGAGAGCAGGAGGAGUGCUGGUCAGAAGCCCCUCCCCAGGGCUCUGGGACUUCAGUGUUCUCAGACAAACUGGGCCGCUCCUCUGAGCUGGGAUGCUGACCCACACUUGGCCCCGGCUCUGGCAUCCACAGGACGCUGCCUUAUCCGUCAUCUCGCUGGGGCUGGGGGCUAGAGGCUGAGCAGGUCACACUGAACAAAAGAAGUGUGUCCCCAUCACUAGGCUAACAUCUGAGUUUCUUCCACAGUAUUUGGUAACACAGUCAGAAACAAGACUGAAGAUGAUUCUGGAGGCAACUGGGAACCCCCCAGAACGAUUCUGCAGGCUUCUGGGAAGCUGAAAAACCCCAAGGCCAGACUGGCCUCAGAAUGCCUGAGUCCUUUUGAUUCCACUGGAAAAGCCAUCCAUCUGUGCCAAGUGUGUGGAGAGCUUCAAGAGCCAUAUAGCCCUGGCCACCAUGAGCACAGCCACGUGGGGGAGUAGUCCUGAAAGUGUCCUGGUGUGGCAAAGGCUUUCCACUAAGUGGACCUCAGAUGGCACAGGAAGACCCUCCUGGGGAUGUGGGAGGACACUGCCUAGUGGGUGAGGGGCCGCUCUUUCAGGUGUGCACACUAAAUGCAGAGACAGCCUCUCCUGGCUGCCAAGAAGCCUGUGCAUGAUCCAGGACCACAAAACACUUGCAAACUCACUGCCCAGAGGCCCUGUGCCUGUCUGGAGUGUGCCCAGUGUGUCUGCGCCCCACAGCUUGUCCUGGCCCGCCAGCAGAGCCGCAGCACUGCAGGGCCCUUCUGUUGUGAGUGCCAGGGCCCUUGCUGGCUGCCUGAGCAAGGCAAAAGGUUCAAAACAGGAAGUCUCUGGGCAGCUAUUCCCAGGUGCAGAGGGGAGCAGCGGCCACACAGGUGCCAGUGUGGCAGGAGCUGCAGUCAGAGGCAGCAUCUCAAGAGCCCUGGGAGCAGGGGCCAGCCACGUGAAGCCCACGAGUGUCGCUGGCACAGGGAAGGGACACGAGGAUCACACUGACCCAAGAGAAGGCCCACAGUGAGGAGGCCCCACCGAAGCAUCCCCAGCAACAGGGACUGAGGCAUCUGAGGCAGCCAGCCCACUCGGAAAGGCCUGCUGACUGCACUCCAGAUGUCAAGAGCACCCUUGGGAAAAAGAAAGGCAGGAGUGCAGCACUUUCUAGAGCCUCAGCUCACUUCUCUCCUUCUAGCUCCAGCCGGAGUGAUGGAAGAGGCUGCGCUGGGAGCUGCCUCCCUGGGAGCCUACCCUGCCCAGCCUGAGAGUGGAGGCUACCAGCAUCACGCUUCCCCUAGUGAAAUCCAUCUGUCCUGAAGGGAACCCUGGGACGGGGUCAAGGAAACCCUGUUCACCCCCACCACGGGGUCAGGUCUUCACCAAAGGGAGGCCGCACGGAUUCCCAGUCGCAAACCCAAAGCCUUGCUGCCUUUGCCUCUGUUUCCAUAGUUGUUUCAAUGUCUUUUUUAAAAAUCACAUACACUCGAGUAAGACUGAGUCUCCUCACCGAAGAGAUCUGGCUGUAUCCCGAGUCUCUGAAACCUUUGCUCCAGUCCCGUGGGAGCGUGCCGUCCCGAGGAUGUGGAGCCGCAAGGGCUCGCCAGAGGGAUCUCAGGAGCUAGGCCUCAAGGAGCGCUGUUGAGUGACAGGUCUGAUGCAGUAGCUUUUACUAUUGGUGGAAAUCGAUGUUUUUUCCUUGAAAGUCUACCUUUCUAAGUUCAGUAAACCAAAUUAGAUCAUGUAUGUGAAAGCACUUUGUAAACUAUGCAGUACUCCAGAAAAGGCAGCCAAGCCCUUAAUUAUAACUCACCAAACAGCCAA